AAAUACUUUUCUAAGCUUCUCAACCUUUCUUCACUCAUCUCCCUCAAUAUUUCUUUAGAUCCUUGUGUUCUUGAGUACUUUUGCCACACACCCAUUUUUGGUGAAACCCAUUUUCAAAUCCAUCUUUUCUUUGCACCAACAUGUCUUCUUCUUCCAAUGGAUCUUAUUUUCUUACUUUUCAUGGCAAGAAAUAUGAUCCAACAUUUGAUUGGAAUGAUGAGGAGGGGCUCCUUCAAGUCCCCAAGGCCCAUGCUCCAUAUUCUCAUAUGGACAUCAAGAGCCUUAAGAGUUGAGGUAGUCUCUAAAUGUUGAAGAGCAUAUGGGAAGCAUUGUCUCCUGCCAUCAGGAAUAUCAUCAAUGAUGCGGGCUUUGGUACUUUCUUUGGAGCUUUACUAAAUUAGGAGACUCAUGAAUACAAGGACUUCCAGCUACUCCUCGCUUUGUCAGAACGCUUCUGGGACACCACAUGUACCUUCCAUUUUCUAGGCAUUGGUGAGGUAAUGUUGACACCUUACAACUUUUCCAUUAUCACUGGCUUGAAGUUGGGUGGUGAGAGAAUCCAUGUCAAGAAACUUCUAGGUGUAAUGUCUUCCAAAAUGAGGAGUAAAAAUGUUCCUUUGUCGUGGUGAGAACAUUACCAAAUGUGAUACUAUGGCAAAGGGUACCUGCAUGUUCAUGCUUCUUUUCAUUGGGACUUUCUUGUGCCCGGAUUUAGGUAGUACAGUGAAUUUGUGUUAUUUAUGGAGCUUGAGAAACAUUGAGCAAAUCAAGAAUUAUGACUGGGGCUCCAUUUGUAUAGCAAGUGAGGUUUGAAAUUUUUGGUUAUGUGUGAAUUUUGGAAAGUCAUUUUGGCUAUGUAUGGUAAUGGUGUUGUGAAAUUAUUUUUCAGGUCUGGAUGUAUGAAUACUUUGGAGUUAGCCCUGAAAUUCAGGAGGAGGUUAAUAACUUUUUUCCUAGAUUUCUCCGUUGGUUGCCCAAACAUUGUUUGUCAAUGCCCUCCAGGCAUUCUUUGGAAAUUUAGCGCUUGGUGAUUGACAACUUGACUACUAAUGAUAUGUCUUUGAAUCCUUGGGUUGGAUGUAAGGAGUAUGCAGAGUGUGAGUGGGCUUUGGAGCUGAAUAGCCAUCAGGUAUAGUUUGAGUGUGGGCAUGGAAGGUAUUGGUAUCUUGGUAAUUAGGUGUUGCCUCAAGUUCAACAUGUGUAUCCUCCUACAACAAUUCCAGUUCCUCCUUGUCCCUUCAUCUGGUUGGCUAACUUUUUGAUUGAUGAAGAGAUUGCUUAGGCCCGUGUUGGCUUUGCUGUUGUAGGAGUAGCCAGGACUUAUUCUGAAUUCAUUUGAACUCAUCUACAGGGUUGCUUGGCUAGCAUAUCGAUACCUCUCUUUCCUUUCUGAAGUCAAAUUCUCAUUUUGUAUACUCCUUUUCCAUAUUUUUGCUUGGUGACAACAUUUGCAUGUUGGAUUUUCAGACUCCAUCUUUUGAAGGAGAGGAAGAGGGAGAGGAAGAAGAAGAAGAAAUUCCUUCCCCUUACCAUACUGGUAGCUCUUCUAGUUUUUUCAUGGAGACUUAUCCCCAUUUUCUAGCAUGGAAAUAUGAAGUGAUAAAUCCUGAUGGAACAUAUAGUUCCAUGCCUUUGAAUAGGCCAGAGCACACACCAAAUGCCCCUUGGCCUGAUCCGGUUGAUGUUUAUCUUGUGGAGGAAAGUAUGCAAAUGAUUAGAGGUUUGUAACUAUUGGCUCGUACUCAGUUUUCCCGAUAUAUGAUCAGUGAGGCGAGUUGGGUAUGCAAUGAUGCUUUCCAAAUGGCUUUUGCUUGGAUUUUUCUUGACAAAUAACACUUGAUUUUGCUAACUUUUCAGGUGAGUCGAAUGGAAGUGGCUAAUUCCUCCAGAAGAACAUUGGAGGACAGGAUCAGAAACCUUGAACUUGAGAACUGUCAAUAUGAUCCUUGAUUCUAUAUAAGUCAAGAGGGAAAUACUAAAGGCGGUUCCUCUAGAGGUGGGUCGAGGAGGUCUUCUCAC
This is a long non-coding RNA of Quercus robur (English oak), 2019 nucleotides long. RefSeq lists it as uncharacterized. The record is from RefSeq and is a predicted model, not a curated record. Lineage: Eukaryota; Viridiplantae; Streptophyta; Magnoliopsida; Fagales; Fagaceae. The transcript is spliced from 4 exons.